Molecule: non-coding RNA, 6807 nt
Organism: Leptonychotes weddellii (Weddell seal)
Lineage: Eukaryota; Metazoa; Chordata; Mammalia; Carnivora; Phocidae
Source: RefSeq, a predicted model, not a curated record
GCUCCCAUGGCAACCCAAGAGUCCGCACAAUCCGGCAGGUCUCGGAGCUCGCUGGCGUCCUGAUUUUAAGCAGGCCCCAAACGCUGAGCCCACGACGCUGGGGCUGUCGAGCCACGAUGCCCAGUGAAACUCUCUGGGAAAUCGCAAAAGCCGAAGUGGAAAAACGAAGUAGUGGAAGUGAAGGUGAUGGACUUGAAAUUGGAGAAAAAUCUGUUUUCUUCAUUGGAAGUAAAAAUGGGGGAAAGACUACUAUUAUUCUAAGGUGUCUUGACAGGGAUGAGCCACCAAAACCAACCUUAGCUUUGGAAUAUACAUACGGAAGAAGAGCAAAAGGGCAUAAUAUACCAAAAGACAUUGCUCACUUUUGGGAACUAGGUGGAGGAACCUCCUUAUUGGACUUAAUCAGCAUACCAAUCACAAGUGAUACCUUACGGACAUUUUCUAUUGUUCUUGUUUUGGAUCUUUCAAGACCUAAUGACCUCUGGCCCACUAUGGAAAAUCUGUUGCAAGCCACAAAAAGCCAUGUAGAUAAAAUGAUAAUGAAACUGGGGAAGACAAAUUCUAAAGCAGCGUCUGAAAUGAGACAGAAGAUACGGAGUAAUAUGCAGAAGGACCAUCCAGAUCGUGAAUUAGUCGACCCAUUUCUAAUACCUCUGGUCAUAAUUGGAAGUAAAUACGAUAUUUUUCAGGAUUUUGACUCUGAGAAGAGAAAGGUUAUAUGCAAGACCCUUCGAUUUGUUGCACAUUAUUAUGGAGCAUCAUUAAUGUUUACCAGCAAAUCAGAAGCUCUAUUACUAAAAAUACGUGGAGUUAUCAACCAGUUAGCAUUUGGUAUUGACAAAAGCAAAUCAAUAUGUGUGGAUCAGAAUAAACCACUGUUUAUCACAGCAGGAUUGGAUUCUUUAAGUCAAAUAGGAUCUCCUCCUGUUCCUGAUAAUGACAUUGGAAAGCUUCAUGCCCAUUCACCAAUGGAGUUGUGGAAGAAAGUGUAUGAAAGGGUCUUUCCACCAAAGAGUAUCAACAUGCUAAAAGAUAUCAAGGACCCUGCAAGAGACCCUCAGUAUGCUGAAAGUGAAGUUGACGAAAUGAGAAUUCAGAAGGAUCAGGAACUGGAACAAUACAAAAGAAGUUCUUCCAAGUCUUGGAAACAAAUUGAGUUUGAUUCUUGAACCUAAUUCAACUAUAGUGUAUUUAUUUCUUCUUUCCCAAAUACAAGUAAGUUUAUUUUAUUAAUUAGCUAUAAUGGUAAUAAGUGAAGGAAGCUAAGAUGUGUAAUUUGUUGAAGGAAAAGUGGCAUUUGUUGUAUUAGUGCAACUCUCUGGAUACUUUUAAGUCUUUUAAAAGGGAAAAAAGUUGUGAGAUUACAUGCAGUAUUUUUUAAAAUAAAAAGAAUACUCUACCUUUCUCUAAUAAGUUUAACUAGUGUAUACUCAGUUCAGCAUUUAUAAGUUUCUGCUUAUAUCAUUUCAGGACUAUGAAAGCAAGAGCCUCUAGUAACAGUUACCAGUGUGAGUUUAAGCAUUUAUAUUAGACAAAUUCCUUCUCGAAGGAGUUCUUGGGAUGACAAGAACUGGGAUAAAGGCAUACAAAGUCAGGAAGUUUGUUGUGAAUCUGGAUGUUGCACCCGGGCAGAUUAUCUCAAUGAACUGAAUUCCUUGAGUGAAGGCACACAUUGGAUUAGUUGUCACAGAACCAUCUGAGCUACCUGCAGGGAAAAGAUGGACAGUAUCAGAUAUGAUGCUUCCCAGAACAAUGAAUCCCCUUUUUCUACAAACCAAAUAUACAAAAUAGUGCCAGACUGACUGGAACAGUGUGAAGACAUUUUACUGAACAAAUGGUAAACAGAUCUAAAUAAUGAUAAGCAAGCACUAGAAACACUCCAGACCAUAAGGAGCACCUGCUCAUGAAUCCCACGGCCUGAAGAAAGACAGCAUCCCAAGCACUGCCUGAAGUUCUCUUUGGACGACAAGCUGGGCACCACUGCACUACUAGAGUCACAGAAUACCAGGUACUACCCCCAUCUUAGGGGAAAGCCAUGGGAAUUAGGGAAGCUACAUCUCCCUAUGAUGACAGAUCAUGCAGAUAAGUACAUGUUUUCGGAUUUAUAUUUUUGAAAAGCUCUAAGAAACAAAAAGCAGCACUGUCUAUACACCAUCGCUCAAAACCUAAGAGCAUCAGGGAUGCUUCGUGGUGCCCCAGUGCCUCUUCCCGCAGCCCCUCUCCCGUUGCUCAAGCCCCCUCACGCCAGCCCGUGAUGUCACAGGCGGGUUGCCGCUCCAGCUGACAGGAGCCCAGGAGCCAUGCUUCAUUGAGAUUCGGCAGCUCCUUGCUGCCUCUGCACCUGGAUCCCAACGACUUCAGGGCAAUCUUCCCUGCCCAGACCCUGCAGAGUAUGUGAGACAUGCCAGUCCCUGGCACCAUGUAGUCCUGCGGGUCUGCUCUCAGGUCCCAUGUGGCCCUGGCUGGGUUCUUUUAUUUGUCCGGAAGCACAGGACAUUGUACUGGGCAUUGAUGGGCAAAGACAGACCUCGAGGGCCAAGAAGAGGGAGUUGUUCACCCUGGAGCUCCCCUCCAUCAGUCCCACUGGCCAUCUGGAACUUGCCAGGAGGACUGAACACCUCUGAACACCCCCUUACCAGUAGCACACGCUGCUGAAUAUCACGGUGGCAAGGACAGUGAAGGGGAGCACGUGCAGCACGUGGGCCAGCAGCAUCUGCCACUUCUGGUGUAAGGUGUCUUGGCUCUCCUGGUCGCUGAGAACCGGGCACAGAGGCAGGUUUCAGAAUAGCCGGUCACCACACAGCUAAGGGAAGGAGGGCUAGCCCAAACUGAACUUGAGUUCUGUCAGGGCUGGGUGGUGGGGACCAGCUGGGGCUCCCUAGUCAUGGAAAGAGGGAACCUGCUAUCCAUAGAACUGUAAAUACUUCCCACCACAGAACUCUUUAUCUGAAUUACAGUAUGGUUGCAAAAGCUGUCAAAAUUUAUUUCCUCCUCUCUAAAGUCAGGGGAGCGUUGUCACAAAUUAAAGAACACAUGUGCAAAAGGGCCAUGAAUGAUGUGAGGUAGUUUGUCCUCUUUUUGUGCAGGGUCUUGGCACAGAACAUCAGGCAACUAGGUAUUGCUUCUGGAUUCUCACAGAGUUUGAAAAUUAGGUGCUAGCUGUCCUAAAAUUGGCUCCAAAAAGAAUAGUGCAAAGUUGGCAGGUAUCUGGGCCCCCAGGGGCUGCACAUCCUAAUGGCGAAGAUAGGAAUACCAAGAAUGAUCUUUUAAAAAACCCUUCCCAAACCCUGCCCCAUCAGCAGCUCCUAAGUCCAUGUUUCCCUGGAUCCUUAGACCCUCAGGGAGAUCUACUUGGUGAACUAAUUCACACUAAGAUGUUAGUAACUCAGUAGUUAACCCUUCCCCAGGGAGAGAAUCUGGAGAAGGCCAAGUUUAGCUCAGCAAAGUAGUCUUAUAAUGAUGGAGUCUUGCAAGAUGCCGGCUGGAGAAGGGAGAUAAUCAGGAAGAGAGGAAGUGCCCUCCCCGCCCCCGGGGUGCACCUCCUGGGCAUGGGCACUCACACAGAUUCACAGCGUUGAGCAUGCCUGUGUAUGGGGUGGCACCCACAAGCUGGUAUAGGAGCCCCACGCAGUCCUGGACAGCACCCUUCAGCACAUCGUUCUGGACCCACAGAAGACAGAAGAUGAGGAACAAACCCAUGAUCAGAUUCUGAACGAGACGCAUCAUCACCGCCAGCUUAUUUCUCAUUAAGUUCCUUGUCACUCUCCUGAAAGCCAAACAACCCUGUUUUAAUUCUUUUUCUUUUAUUGGUGGAUGUCUAACCACCUAAAACGGGGUGAAGCUCUUACCUUAAGAGAACACCUAGUUUAGAGAGAGCUCCAGGAGAAUCUUUGGUUUUGAAAGGAACCAUUGGUAAUGUUUUCAGGUGUUUUGUUCUUUCAAUAUUCUCCCAAGGUUUUGCGAUAAAUUGCUGAUUCUUUGUAGGCAGAUUCAAUCAUCUGAACUCUCUUGUAGGUUUCUAUUUCCCGUUCUUUGCUUUGGGUAUCCACUGAUAUCAGGUCCACUAAUUUUUUUUCCCCAAAGAAAUGACCCAUGUGUUUUUAAAUGCAUAUAUAUGCACAAUGGCUAAUAAUACAUGUUUCAUCAUUGAUUCAGGAGUACUAGCUAAUGCCUCAUGCCAUCAGAGUAACACCUGGUGAUCAUGCCCACCUAUAAAAUCAGAAUAUUUUAAAGCUACCAGCAAGGCCUUGAGAAUUCAACUGGGGCUGUCUGGGAGGAUUUAGAAACUCAGCUGAUUUUUCUCUGACAAAGUGGACAUGCAGCAAUUUAAGAGAGGUCCCCCACCUCAUUCUGAUAGGUCAUCUAUGGCAAGUUAACUGACCCGGCCAAAUUAACUCCUUAAAGAGUGAAAUCACCAAAACAAAAGCAAGAAUAAAAUCCACUAGUGCUGUUGACAUCUAGGCAGAAAUCUGAGAUGAUAAAAUUGAAUGAACAUUCAUGAUGGGAAAUGUGGGAAAAAAAACUUACUAUAAAUGUCAAAAGGGUUUGAAUGUUCGGGACAAGGGUAACUGCAGCCACUGAAGAAAUCAAGCAUUUCCGCUCGUGUUCCACAGAAAACCAGCUCUCCGUAGCUCAGAAUGGCAAUUUUAUCAAAGAGCUGAUGAGAAAAUCGAUGGCAUUAGUGUGUAUCAGGUCACCAUAUCCUCUGGAGAAUAAAUUUCCAAGCCGUCAGUCCCUGUUGAUCCCAGCCAUGCAUCAGGAUUCUUACUGUGGCCACUGGAGACACACAGAGCAUGUCCCUAUUUUUCUUAGCCUGCGUUGCCAGUGUGCAUCGUGCUGCAUCUGGCCUGGGCCCAGCAUCACAUCUGGAGUGGAAAAGAACUCCUGGACCUGGCCUGUGGUCCUGGGUUUGAUCAAGGACCAGCCAUGCUCCUGAGUGAAUGACCUUGGACUAGAUGUUUAUUUAAUCUCAGAUCCUUGACUCAAUUUUGCAUCAUUUCUAAGUCUCCCUCUUUUCUGUAAAGUGACAAUACUGAUACCCACCUCAUAGGAUUGUCGUGUGGACUAAAUGAACUAGUGCAUAGAAAGUAUUUGGUACAUGGCAGGUGCCCUUCCCAUAUCAGGACCUAUUGGCCCCAAGGGCCCUGGUUGACAAGUACUAAUCUCUACCGCACGAUCCCCAGCUCAACACAUACAUCUACCCACCCUUGACGAGUUAAGCAGGAACAAGAUUCCCCCUCACCUGGAAGAGCUCGGAGCGUGGCUGAUGGAUGGUGACAAUCACAACGCGGUCCCUGUGAGCCAGCUCUGCCAGGAGGACAACGAUCUGAUUUGCUGUCAUGCAGUCCAGGCCUGUGGUAGGCUCAUCAAACAGCAUGACCUCUGCAGGCAAGGAAGGGUCGGGUUUCUGAGUCACUGACAAGACUGGGCUACGGACUCUAAACUCAGAAUUUUGAACAGUUCCUUAUGGAGAUGUCUUAACCCAUCCCAUCUUGCCCUAUCCAAACAGUGCACCGUGAGAAGUACCUGCAUGUAAACUGGCUUUCAGCCGGAGCCCAAGCGAAGGAGCCUGACCUCAGAGGACCCACCUCCCAGUUCCAGACCACAUCUUGGCCUUAAUCCUUGAGGGGAGAGGGCUGCUACAAGAUACUAUGGACUGUUUGGGCUCUGCCCAGAGGACCAUGACAAAGAACAAGGGCUGGCUAGUGGGCACCAAGUUGUUUUCAAAAGGCUGAGAAGAGGCUGGUUAAAAAGACAUAACCUCACUUCAUGUGGAGCAUUUUCCAACACUAACAGGGUCUUUGCACGGCAAAAAACUCUGUCCCAUAAAACAGUCUGAGCUGGGAUAGGCAUUUAGAUUCUUUAGAGGGUUCAACUGUGGUUAUUUCUACCCAGAAGGUGAGAAGGGCUCUUAAGAGCAUCUCUCUUGCCUUCUAGUGACCAACCACCAUCUGAAGAGCAGGCCGUCGUAGUGUGCCCCAGUGGGGAAUCCAGGUGCAGCACGUUCUUUUCCAGGUGCUUGUAAGAGCUGAGAUUUCCCCAGUGGUGGGGAGAACGACCAAACCCGGCAGGAGAGGCAGGUGACUGGCUACCCCAUCUUGAUAGCUCCUCCCUCCAAAAUACACACUUUUUUGUGUAUCAUUCAAAGUCCUGCUUUAAUUCCUGCCAUUUCUUAAAGUUCUAGGCACACCAAAACUCAUUGGCUUUCCAUAGCCCCCACAAUGCAGUGUUUCCAAGUCCAAGAGCUGUUUUGUACUUGGAGAGAAAAGCAUCAGGAACUAUGUAGUAUUUCCAAAGAAACUGGGUCCCCAGUUUGAAAAACCUCAGUAAUGUCAGUUCCACACAAACCCCUUUCCAAAUGGAGACUGUAAAAAAAAAAAAAGGACGGAAAAUGUCUGCAGACACAUGGAAGAUGCCCAGGUAGCAGUUCUGGGACCCACUUACUGGGAUCCUGGAGGAGCUGGGCUGCGAUGGAGACCCGGCGCCGCUCGCCACUGGAAAUCCCCCCAAGGUUGUAGCUGCCAAUCAGUCAAUCUGCCACGUGGCUCAGACUCCGCUCCACCAUGACUGCGUCCACCUGUAGGAGACACAAAGUCCAGGAAGGCUGGUCACUGCUGGACUGCUGCUCCAAUUCAUGGAGUGCAGAUGGCAUGGGAGAGGCAGCAUGCUUCCCUUGAGUGCUCAGGCCACUUUCAGACUCACCAUACCCUAGGGAGAACAUGCCUAUUAACGAUAAAACCCAAUUUGGUCUAAGUCAUAAUAUAAUACAUGUGUCAGGUUAAAAUAAAUAACUGUUUUUCAAAAGUC